AUCAGACCAUUUUCAUACACAGAUAUAAGGAUUGUUAGCAUGAUUCGUCUAGAUAAAAAGUUGCAGCCCCGGAGUAUAACACAACUAAGCUCUUGUUCACUGCAAUUAGAACAACUACAACAUAUUCAUAUUCUACGUGCUUCAAAGUUGUGACACAAGAUGAGAAGGUCACAAUAAAACAAAGAAUAAAUUAUUGUGAAGAAGCUAGGAUCACUCCCUACAAUUAUAUACCUGCAAAAAAAUUUUUUUUUUACAGAAUUUGUUGAUACAGUUCUUAUUUUUAAUAUUAUAGGAAGUAAAAAAGUAUUUAGAAAAAAUAAAAUGAACAUAGACAGUUAUUGUGUAGAAAAUAUUGGCAUUGAUUGGUAACACUGCUUAAUCGUAGAAAAAUAAUUAAGUUGCUGAAAAUUUAAAAUCUGCUGAACAAAAAUACAGAAUAAUUUUCUAAACAAUGUGAUCUUAAAAAAAAGUUUUUCAAACAAUUGGAUAAACUUUAUGGAAUACUGAAGUAUAAAAAAAUCAAAUUGUGAUACAUUGUUUAAUCUAUUGAAGUAAUAAAUAUAAAGAAUUUAAUAUAUUAUUAUAAUAUAAAUACCAAUUAAAAAAGGAUGUGUUAUUUCACUUUAAAAAAAAAAGAAAAGGGUGGUCAAAUAAAUAUCUAUCUGAGGCAGGGAAAGAAAUUCUACUUAAAACAAUAGCAUCUGCUAUUCCGGUUUAUCCAAUGAAUGUUUUCAAGCUUCCUAAAGGAGUAUGUGAAGAAAUAGAGAAACUAUUUGCUGAAUAUUGGUGGAGUAAGGGAACGGGGAGACGGUCGAUGCACUGGAUGAGUUGGAAGAGAGUGAGUGUUCCAAAGAAAGAAGGUGGGCUAGGUUUCCGUGAUAUUGAGAAUUUUAACUUGGCUUUACUUGCCAAACAAGUAUGGAGGAUUGGCCAAACACCAACAAGUCUACUUGCAAGAGUUCUGCGUGGUCGAUAUCAUCAGGAUACAUCUAUUCUCAAUGCAAGGGUUGGAAAUAAACCCUCAUUUAUAUGGAGAUCGCUAAUGGAAGGAAAGGAACUCCUUAAAUCAGGAUUGAGGGUUCAAAUUGGUAAUGGUGAAGAGACUCUAAUCUGGAGGGACGCCUGGCUACCCACUCAUCCACCUAGAGCUCCAAGAGGCAUUGAUAAUAUAGUAAAUUACUAUCACACAGUUCAUUCACUAUUUCGCCUGGGUACAAGACAAUGGAAUGUCGAAUUAUUAGAGCGAAUUAUGGUACCAGAGGAUGUGGAGUUAGUAAAACACAUUGUGUUAAGCCAAUAUGGAGGACAAGAUUUGCUGGGUUGGAACUAAACUGAAGAUGGUAUGUAUACGGUUAAGUCAGGUUACUGGUUGAGCAUGCAUAGCCAAGAUCAACAAGUUUUACCACCAAGAGGAUCAACUGGAAUUAAAGCUGCUCUAUGGAAGUUAAAUACUGCUCCGAAACUCAAAACAUUUUUUAUGGAGAAUUCUAUCAGAGGCAAUGCCUGUGGGAUCAAUCCUAAAACGAAGACGUGUCUCUCAAGAUAGUGUGUGUUAGAUGAAGAUAUGGAACAUCUCUUCUUCAAAUGCCCGUAUACUCAAGCACUUUGGAGAGGGGCAAAUCUACCAGACCGUACGUUUACUGAUAAUAGUAUCAGUUUUGAAGAGAAGUUAAAGGCUAUUGUAUCCUCGAUCAAUAAUAAGGUGCUUAACCCUAUAGAUAGGCAACAGCCUUUGUGGAUCCUCUGGCGCAUCUGUAAAAGCAGAAACCUUUUAGUUUAUGGACGGAAACAGACUGAUUGGAAAGUAGACCUCAAACAAGCUCAACAUGAAGCACGUGAAUGGACUCAGGUGUUGUAUUCAACUGAAAGCAACAGCAAUACAACCCAGAGGCUAAGUGGGAGACACAAACAAUCAAUGUGGGAGAGACCUCCUUGUGAUUAUGUGAAGAUUAAUUAUGAUGGGAGUAGGAGACAAAAUAUGUCAACAGGAGGGUGGAUAUUCAGAGAUGCUCAAGGAUUUUUCCUAGGAGGAGGCCAGGGUAAACAAUCAGUUAAUGGAGAUGGAAGUCUGGAGACAGAAUUACAAGCUCUUCUUAUGGCAAUGCAACAUACGUGGACAAAAGGUUACCGUAAAGUUAUUUUUGAAGGUGACAACAAACAGGUUCAGGAGCUACUAACAACGUCCAAGAGGAAUUUCCACAUGCAUAAUUGGAUUCUGGAAAUCAAAGGGUGGAAGUAGAAAUUUGAAGAUGCAGAAUUUAGAUGGAUUCCAAGGGAAGAUAAUAAAGCUGCAGAUCAUUUAGCUAAACAAUUUCAUAAUUCUCAAGUUUCUUUCAACUCUAUAUUCUAUGUACCUGUAUCAAUAACUCAAAUCCUCCAUGAGGAUAUUUCUUCGUCAUUAUAAUAAAGUUGCAAGUUGGAAAAAAAAAAAAAAAAAAAAAGAAAAGAAGAAGGAUUUGUUAUUUUGUUCAGAAACUCGCGGCGCGAUGGAGAAAGCAACCGCAGGGGAGGAAGAAUUUGCAGGUACGAAUCCAAGUCGAUAAAUAUAUAUAAGGAUGUGUGUAGAUAAAUGAUUUAGUAGCGAUCCCUAAUUUUCUGAUCACCAGAAAUGAUUAGUUAUUACCUGGAGAAUGUAAGUUUCGGAUUGGAGAUUGGGCCCGAGGGUCACUAUGUCCCGGCAUUAAGUGGCCAUGAGUAUAAAGGAACUACUCCUCCGCGCACAAUGGACGAAGAGUAUGACCUCAUGGCUAAACAAGUCACGGAGACUCAGG
This 2771-nucleotide long non-coding RNA is filed under the name Brassica rapa (field mustard). RNAcentral describes it as "long non-coding RNA (BRAP_LNC007510)". Lineage: Eukaryota; Viridiplantae; Streptophyta; Magnoliopsida; Brassicales; Brassicaceae. The record is from RNAcentral.